This 1188-nucleotide long non-coding RNA is filed under the name Salmo salar (Atlantic salmon). RNAcentral describes it as "lncRNA (ENSSSAG00000081920.1)". The record is from RNAcentral. Lineage: Eukaryota; Metazoa; Chordata; Actinopteri; Salmoniformes; Salmonidae.
AUGUUUUUAUGUUGCUUUAUUAACGCAAUUAUUAUUAUUUUUUAAACAUUGUAUUCAAACUGUUAUGUGACACGUAUUAAUGCCAAAAUAACAUGCUAAUCAGGCUCACCAAAAAAAACAUAUAUUUUUUUUAGCUAAACAGUUGGGGCUGAAAACACCUGAAGGACGGGUCGCCACUGCAUAACAGUCCGUUAUCUUGAUCAGUAAUGGUCUUUUAGGAAAUGGCUACUGUUGACAUGGAUACCGCAACUGUUAUGACUGUUUCUAUGGAAACGGUUACCAAGAGCAAGGUCGGCCUCCCUUGGUGUCAUGGCAACACAACGCCGGCGGAAACAUCAAAUCAACAUCCAGUUCUGGUUAGUAUUAGAUUUUAGUUGUAAACCCAACGUACUUUCAACUUGAAAUAAACCAACGAUACAGUAUAUUGCACUAAUCAAUGAUAAAAGUUGAUGAGAUGAUGGCCUGAGUGUCUGUAUGUUUGUGUUAUCAUGCGAAUUCGUCAUGCCAAACUGGUUAGCUUAAAACAUUGACAAUGACAGCAAGACAUGGAGUUGUCAAGGGCACAAUAGAUUUAGGACCAGGUUAAUAAGAACACAAUAGAUUUAGGACCAGGUUAAUAAUAACACAAUAGAUUUAGGACCAGGUUAAUACGAACACAAUAGAUUUAGGACCAGGUUAAUAAGAACACAACAGAUUUAGGACCAGGUUAAUAAGAACACAAUAGAUUUAGGACCAGGUUAAUAAGAACACAAUAGAUUUAGGACCAGGUUAAUACGAACACAAUAGAUUUAGGACCAGGUUAAUAAGAACACAACAGAUUUAGGACCAGGUUAAUAAGAACACAAUAGAUUUAGGACCAGGUUAAUAAGAACACAAUAGAUUUAGGACCAGGUUAAUAAGAACACAACAGAUUUAGGACCAGGUUAAUAAGAACACAAUAGAUUUAGGACCAGGUUAAUAAGAACACAACAGAUUUAGGACCAGGUUAAUAAGAACACAACAGAUUUAGGACCAGGUUAAUCAGAACACAAUAGAUUUAGGACCAGGUUAAUAAGAGAGGGAGAGAGAGGCAGAGAGACAGAGAGAGAGAAGGGGAGAGAGAGAGCGAGAGAGAGAGAAGGGGAGAGAGAGAGAGAGAGAGAGAGAGAGAGAGAGAGAGAGAGAGAGAGAGAGAGAGAGAGAGAGAGA